GAGAGCAUGAAAGAGAUAGAAGUAGAUGUAGACGACACUACUAGUGUCCUUGAUUUUGUUGCAGGAGUGAACCAAUUGGCUAUACCUCAGUCAGAGGUGCAAAUUAAUUAUGUUCCGGUUCCGGAAGCAUCAACUAGGACUGAUGACUCAAGGAACAGCAGAGAUGCUGGUGCAGAGAGAGGCAAUGGUGCUAGGCAGCAUCAUAACUGGCCCCAA
This 216-nucleotide unclassified non-coding RNA is filed under the name Hevea brasiliensis (rubber tree). The record is from RNAcentral. Lineage: Eukaryota; Viridiplantae; Streptophyta; Magnoliopsida; Malpighiales; Euphorbiaceae.